AAUCAACGCUGGCGGCGUGCCUCAGACAUGCAAGUCGAACGAUUAAAGCUCUCUUCGGAGAGUGCAUAAAGUGGCGCACGGGUGAGUAACACGUAAGUAAUCUACCUUCGAGUGGGGAAUAACGUCCGGAAACGGACGCUAAUACCGCAUAACGCAGCGGCAUCGCAAGAUGACAGUUGUUAAAGAUUUAUCGCUUGAAGAGGAGCUUGCGGCAGAUUAGCUUGUUGGUAAGGUAACGGCUUACCAAGGCUACGAUCUGUAUCCGGUCUAAGAGGACGGUCGGACACACUGACACUGAAUAACGGGUCAGACUCCUACGGGAGGCAGCAGUCGGGAAUUUUGGGCAAUGGGGGAAACCCUGACCCAGCAACGCCGCGUGAAGGAUGAAGUAUUUCGGUAUGUAAACUUCGAAAGAAUAGGAAGAAUUAAUGACGGUACUACUUAUAAGGUCCGGCUAACUACGUGCCAGCAGCCGCGGUAAU
This 482-nucleotide ribosomal RNA is filed under the name uncultured bacterium. Its description in RNAcentral is "bacterial SSU rRNA". It matches the Rfam family "Bacterial small subunit ribosomal RNA", at positions 32 to 524 of the family's 1533-position model. The record is from RNAcentral.